Molecule: ribosomal RNA, 374 nt
Filed under: uncultured bacterium
Lineage: Bacteria
Description: bacterial SSU rRNA
Rfam family: Bacterial small subunit ribosomal RNA
Source: RNAcentral
AACGAACGCUGGCGGCAGGCCUAACACAUGCAAGUCGAACGCCGUAGCGAUACGGAGUGGCAGACGGGUGAGUAACGCGUGGGAACAUACCCCUCGGUUCGGAAUAACUCAGGGAAACUUGAGCUAAUACCGGAUAAGUCCGAGGUUUUAAUCGACCUUGGAGAAAGAUUUAUCGCCGGAGGAUUGGCCCGCGUCUGAUUAGCUUGUUGGUGAGGUAAUGGCUCACCAAGGCGACGAUCAGUAGCUGGUCUGAGAGGAUGAUCAGCCACAUUGGGACUGAGACACGGCCCAAACUCCUACGGGAGGCAGCAGUGGGGAAUAUUGGACAAUGGGCGAAAGCCUGAUCCAGCCAUGCCGCGUGAGUGAUGAAGGCC